This is a long non-coding RNA of Ooceraea biroi (clonal raider ant), 1008 nucleotides long. RefSeq lists it as uncharacterized. The record is from RefSeq and is a predicted model, not a curated record. NCBI's taxonomy places the organism in Eukaryota, Metazoa, Arthropoda, Insecta, Hymenoptera, Formicidae.
AUACGAAUACAUCUCUAUGUAGCAACGAGUGCAGGGAAUGUGAGAGCGAUCAAUCAUCGCUUCACAGCCUAGCUCAAACAUAUUAAAAUGCCGUUUCUCCGCAGCAUUUAGACUCUCGCACGAGUGGACAACGGCUGACGUAGGUCACCUCGUCACCGAGAGAAGAGAGUGUUAAAAUCCGGUGAGUAAUCUGUGGCUAGAGUUGCACAAUCAUAAGAUCUGUGAGUCAUUGCGGCAAGAGGAAUUUUAAGGGCGAUAUCGGCAACGAUAUCCAGCUUUCAGGUACGCGGCAGCUCCUAGAUAACCGGUUGGGAAAAAUUGUAAGCUACCUAAAGCACGAUACGGAAAUUGCACAGCUAUGUGUCACAUUACUCGUUCCAGAAUCGAAUCCGAGAUUACUCGGAGAGAUUUAUACUACUUCUUCACAUGAAGGUGGAAAGCAUUCCCGCCAUGCAUAAAAGUGAUUUCGGGUGAAUUCGUAUAAAUUUCUGUGCAAAACGUGCGACAUGAUGAAUGCGAAACUUUAUGCGAAAAAAAUGUAAAAGUUUAUUGGUGUCGUCGACUGAGCAGUGCAGAUGUUCGUAUGCAAUCUGAUGUGGAUUACGUGGAUGCUUACGUUGGCAGCAUUCGUGGCUAUAAGCGAGAGCCUGCGGAGUGUCUGGUCCAUUUUGAUAAACUCGCACGCAUUCGUAAUUGCAUGCAAAGUCGUAGCUAACAGUGUGUACAAAGCGAUGAUGGAUAGCUUUAAAUGCAGCCGAAUUGCUAAAGAUUCUAUAUGCAAUCUCACUCUAAAUCGCAAAUUAUUCACGUAACAAUUUAUAAUAGAAAUAAAUCAUUCCUACAAAAUUUAUGAAAUUCUAUGAUUUUGAGAAGCUUUCGCGGAUUACAUUGAGAAUCACAAGAGAACACUUUGCACUACGAGAAAUGCGUAUAAAGAGAUUUAUUAUCAAGACAGUACAUUCACCUAAUGAAAAUUAAUGAAAUAAUAAAAAGAUUGAUAAAUCAAAA